This 1540-nucleotide ribosomal RNA is filed under the name Klebsiella pneumoniae. RNAcentral's name for it is "bacterial SSU rRNA". It matches the Rfam family "Bacterial small subunit ribosomal RNA". The record is from RNAcentral. Lineage: Bacteria; Pseudomonadati; Pseudomonadota; Gammaproteobacteria; Enterobacterales; Enterobacteriaceae.
AAAUUGAAGAGUUUGAUCAUGGCUCAGAUUGAACGCUGGCGGCAGGCCUAACACAUGCAAGUCGAGCGGUAGCACAGAGAGCUUGCUCUCGGGUGACGAGCGGCGGACGGGUGAGUAAUGUCUGGGAAACUGCCUGAUGGAGGGGGAUAACUACUGGAAACGGUAGCUAAUACCGCAUAAUGUCGCAAGACCAAAGUGGGGGACCUUCGGGCCUCAUGCCAUCAGAUGUGCCCAGAUGGGAUUAGCUAGUAGGUGGGGUAAUGGCUCACCUAGGCGACGAUCCCUAGCUGGUCUGAGAGGAUGACCAGCCACACUGGAACUGAGACACGGUCCAGACUCCUACGGGAGGCAGCAGUGGGGAAUAUUGCACAAUGGGCGCAAGCCUGAUGCAGCCAUGCCGCGUGUGUGAAGAAGGCCUUCGGGUUGUAAAGCACUUUCAGCGGGGAGGAAGGCGAUAAGGUUAAUAACCUUAGCGAUUGACGUUACCCGCAGAAGAAGCACCGGCUAACUCCGUGCCAGCAGCCGCGGUAAUACGGAGGGUGCAAGCGUUAAUCGGAAUUACUGGGCGUAAAGCGCACGCAGGCGGUCUGUCAAGUCGGAUGUGAAAUCCCCGGGCUCAACCUGGGAACUGCAUUCGAAACUGGCAGGCUAGAGUCUUGUAGAGGGGGGUAGAAUUCCAGGUGUAGCGGUGAAAUGCGUAGAGAUCUGGAGGAAUACCGGUGGCGAAGGCGGCCCCCUGGACAAAGACUGACGCUCAGGUGCGAAAGCGUGGGGAGCAAACAGGAUUAGAUACCCUGGUAGUCCACGCCGUAAACGAUGUCGAUUUGGAGGUUGUGCCCUUGAGGCGUGGCUUCCGGAGCUAACGCGUUAAAUCGACCGCCUGGGGAGUACGGCCGCAAGGUUAAAACUCAAAUGAAUUGACGGGGGCCCGCACAAGCGGUGGAGCAUGUGGUUUAAUUCGAUGCAACGCGAAGAACCUUACCUGGUCUUGACAUCCACAGAACUUUCCAGAGAUGGAUUGGUGCCUUCGGGAACUGUGAGACAGGUGCUGCAUGGCUGUCGUCAGCUCGUGUUGUGAAAUGUUGGGUUAAGUCCCGCAACGAGCGCAACCCUUAUCCUUUGUUGCCAGCGGUUAGGCCGGGAACUCAAAGGAGACUGCCAGUGAUAAACUGGAGGAAGGUGGGGAUGACGUCAAGUCAUCAUGGCCCUUACGACCAGGGCUACACACGUGCUACAAUGGCAUAUACAAAGAGAAGCGACCUCGCGAGAGCAAGCGGACCUCAUAAAGUAUGUCGUAGUCCGGAUUGGAGUCUGCAACUCGACUCCAUGAAGUCGGAAUCGCUAGUAAUCGUAGAUCAGAAUGCUACGGUGAAUACGUUCCCGGGCCUUGUACACACCGCCCGUCACACCAUGGGAGUGGGUUGCAAAAGAAGUAGGUAGCUUAACCUUCGGGAGGGCGCUUACCACUUUGUGAUUCAUGACUGGGGUGAAGUCGUAACAAGGUAACCGUAGGGGAACCUGCGGUUGGAUCACCUCCUUA